CCGAGGAGUGGGUGCAGCCGCGCCGCCCGG
This 30-nucleotide small RNA is filed under the name Bombyx mori (domestic silkworm). Its description in RNAcentral is "ovarian small RNA-13827". The record is from RNAcentral. Lineage: Eukaryota; Metazoa; Arthropoda; Insecta; Lepidoptera; Bombycidae.